ACCUCCGUGGCCGAGUGGCUAUGACACUAGACUUGCAAGCCGGAGGUCCCGGGUUCGAUUCCCGGUGGGGUCG
This 73-nucleotide transfer RNA is filed under the name Diaphorina citri (Asian citrus psyllid). It matches the Rfam family "tRNA". Rfam says of the family: Transfer RNA (tRNA) molecules are approximately 80 nucleotides in length. Their secondary structure includes four short double-helical elements and three loops (D, anti-codon, and T loops). The record is from Rfam by way of RNAcentral. Lineage: Eukaryota; Metazoa; Arthropoda; Insecta; Hemiptera; Psyllidae.